GUUCUUUAAAUUAUGUGUGUGUGUGUCUGUCUGUCUGUCUAUGUGGUGAUGCACAUGUGUGUUCAGGUACGUGAGGAGGACAAUUGUGUCAAAUCCCCUAGAGUUAGAGGCAGUUGUGAGCUACUCCCUGAUGUGGGUCCUGGGAACCACAUGUGGGUUUUCUCAACAGCACAAGCUCUUAGACAUUGACCAUCUCUCUAGCCUCACAUAUUUGUGUGUGUCUGAGAACUGAACCCAAGGCUUCCCACAUGCUAAGCAACUGCUAAGCCAUGCCCCCAGCCCCUCCCUAGGGGAUUCUAGGCAGGGGCUUUACCACUGAGCCACGCCCCCAGCCCCUCACUGGGGGAUUCUAGGCAGGGGCUUUACCACUGAGCCACGCCCCCAGCCCCUCACUGGGGGAUUCUAGGCAGGGCUCUACCACUGUACUACUAUCCCUAGCCUUUUUGGUUUUGGUUUUGAGGAGGGAGGGUCUUACUAAAUUGCUCAGGCUGGACUUCAGUUCACUCUGUUCCCAGGCAAUCCUGCCUCUCAGCCUCUUGAAUAGUUGAGAUUAUAGACCUGCCCACUAGGCCAGGGUCCUCUCAGAUGUUUUGAAUCAUUCUGUGGUUUAAAACCAUCACUGUAAAUACCAUGUAAAUCCUCACACCAUGGUGUUUAGGGGAUUGUGGGCAGAAGAAGUCUGUGAAUGUUGAGUGCCACACAGAUCUGUGAUUGGUUGAGUGUACAGAUGCAGAGACCCCAGAUUUGCAUUUGAGAACUUUCCCUGUUGCUUGACAUUCUCCUUUGAUUCUCAGAGUAGACCACCUCCCAUUGCUCUGUGUCUUGUAAGUGGUGCAGACCUUCCCUGUGAGGGGAGAGCCUGGGCUGGCUGCACUGCCUGGCCUGGAGCUGGGAGGUGUCAGAGGGCAGCAGGAGUGGGAUUCCUUCUCUACGCCCACCUCCCUUGGACUUCUUGGUUCUCUGUCUAAGGCCCAGUUCCUUUCCUAGGUACCUCAUGGCAGGCCUUGGAUCCAGCAGUGAGGACGAGGGGGACUCUCACAGUGAGAGCGGUGAAGAUGAAGCUCCCAAGCUUCCCCGGAAGGUCUGAUGCCCCUACGGUGCCAGGAGGGAGUGCUGGGUGCCAACCAGGCUCUGCUGAGCUACCUCAGCCUCUCCCUUCUGCCCCCUGCUGGCUGACCACAGCCUCACACUGCCCUGACCUCACCCAGCCCUCCUUCCUCAGAGGCCCCAGCCCAAAGCCAAGACCCAGGCAGCAGGACCCAGCUCACCCCCGAGGCCACCAACCCCAGAAGAGACCAAAGCACCAUCACCAGGACCCCAGGACAAUAGUGACACUGAUGGGGAACAGUCAGAAGGACGGGACAAUGGGGCGGAAGAUUCUGGGGACACCGAAGAUGAACUGAGGAGCAGAGGGAGCAAAGGCAGCCCCCAGCCCCAGAGGAGAAUGGCGAGGACCCGUAUGCAGGCUCCACAGAU
Molecule: long non-coding RNA, 1476 nt
Filed under: Rattus norvegicus (Norway rat)
Lineage: Eukaryota; Metazoa; Chordata; Mammalia; Rodentia; Muridae
Description: long non-coding RNA NONRATT000469
Source: RNAcentral